GACGAACGCUGGCGGCGUGCUUAACACAUGCAAGUCGAACGGUAAGGCCCUUCGGGGUACACGAGUGGCGAACGGGUGAGUAACACGUGGGUGAUCUGCCCUGCACUUCGGGAUAAGCCUGGGAAACUGGGUCUAAUACCGGAUAGGACCACUGCCUGCAUGGGUGGUGGUGGAAAGCUUUUGCGGUGUGGGAUAGGCCCGCGGCCUAUCAGCUUGUUGGUGGGGUGAUGGCCUACCAAGGCGACGACGGGUAGCCGGCCUGAGAGGGUAACCGGCCACACUGGGACUGAGAUACGGCCCAGACUCCUACGGGAGGCAGCAGUGGGGAAUAUUGCACAAUGGGCGCAAGCCUGAUGCAGCGACGCCGCGUGAGGGAUGACGGCCUUCGGGUUGUAAACCUCUUUCAGCACCGACGAAGCGCAAGUGACGGUAGGUGCAGAAGAAGGACCGGCCAACUACGUGCCAGCAGCCGCAGUAA
RNAcentral lists this ribosomal RNA (478 nucleotides) under uncultured bacterium. RNAcentral's name for it is "partial 16S ribosomal RNA". It matches the Rfam family "Bacterial small subunit ribosomal RNA", at positions 28 to 523 of the family's 1533-position model. The record is from RNAcentral.